UUGAUUUAUGAUGUUUAAAGAGUUUCAGAGAUAAUUUGAGUAUUAAUGGACCUACAGUGAUCGUUAGGACUUAUCCAGUUACGCUUGUAGAGACUAUUUGGACUCAUCCGGGACGCCGGUGAGGUAUGUUUGGACCUGCAGGAAUUAUUUAGACCUAUCCGGUAGGGGCUAUUUGGACUCAUCCGGUAUGCUGGUGAGGUAUGUUUGGACAUGCAGGGAUUGUUUGGACCCAUCAGGACGCUGGUGGGGUAUAUAGGUGACCUACUUGGG
Molecule: long non-coding RNA, 270 nt
Filed under: Amborella trichopoda
Lineage: Eukaryota; Viridiplantae; Streptophyta; Magnoliopsida; Amborellales; Amborellaceae
Description: long non-coding RNA (ATRI_LNC002784)
Source: RNAcentral